This 489-nucleotide ribosomal RNA is filed under the name uncultured bacterium. RNAcentral describes it as "bacterial SSU rRNA". It matches the Rfam family "Bacterial small subunit ribosomal RNA", at positions 30 to 517 of the family's 1533-position model. The record is from RNAcentral.
AUUGAACGCUGGCGGCAUGCCUUACACAUGCAAGUCGAACGGUAACGGGCCUUCGGGUGCCGACGAGUGGCGAACGGGUGAGUAAUGCAUCGGAACGUACCUUUCAGUGGGGGAUAACGUAGCGAAAGUUACGCUAAUACCGCAUAUUCUGUGAGCAGGAAAGCAGGGGAUCGCAAGACCUUGCGCUGAUUGAGCGGCCGAUGUCAGAUUAGCUAGUUGGUGAGGUAAAGGCUCACCAAGGCGACGAUCUGUAGCGGGUCUGAGAGGAUGAUCCGCCACACUGGAACUGAGACACGGUCCAGACUCCUACGGGAGGCAGCAGUGGGGAAUUUUGGACAAUGGGGGCAACCCUGAUCCAGCCAUGCCGCGUGAGUGAAGAAGGCCUCGGUUGUAAGCUCUUCGCCGGGACGAAUACGCAUGGGCGUAAUACCCUGUGCGGAUGACGGUACCGGCAUAAGAAGCACCGGCGUAACUACGUGCCAGCAGCCG